CAGCAGCCACGGGAAUACGAAGGGUGCAAGCGUUACUCGGAAUUACUGGGCGUAAAGCGUGCGUAGGUGGUGGUUUAAGUCCGUUGUGAAAGCCCUGGGCUCAACCUGGGAAUUGCAGUGGAUACUGGGUCACUAGAGUGUGGUAGAGGAUAGUGGAAUUUCCGGUGUAGCAGUGAAAUGCGUAGAGAUCGGAAGGAACAUCUGUGGCGAAGGCGACUAUCUGGGCCAACACUGACACUGAGGCACGAAAGCGUGGGGAGCAAACAGGAUUAGAUACCCGAGUAGUCCCUGUCUCUUAUAC
Molecule: ribosomal RNA, 301 nt
Filed under: uncultured bacterium
Lineage: Bacteria
Description: partial 16S ribosomal RNA
Rfam family: Bacterial small subunit ribosomal RNA
Source: RNAcentral